Molecule: long non-coding RNA, 473 nt
Organism: Gavialis gangeticus (Gharial)
Lineage: Eukaryota; Metazoa; Chordata; Crocodylia; Gavialidae
Exons: 3
Source: RefSeq, a predicted model, not a curated record
AUCCUACAAAUGGCAAGUGGAGAAGGCCAGAGGGGCAGCAGAGAGGGGGAUUCCCAAUGACCACAGUGCCAUGGCCGCAGUCUUUUUCAGAAGAAUACGCCAUGCUGUAAGCCAGAAGCAUGAUCAUCCAAAGAGGAGCACUGGAGUUGGCAGUUCUGGCCCUGGAGAAUGGCAAAGAGAGGAGGAGCAGCAGCAGAUGAUGGCAAUAGAACCGGAAGUGGCUGGAGCUGUCAAUUCCCUGUGGAGGACAGGAACUGGGAUCCUGGAGCAAAAGGGAGUCAGAAGAUCCCUAUCCAUGCCUGGGGUGUAGCCUGCCAGGGAGCUGACCAACCCAGAGGAGCCAGUGAGACAGAAGCUGGAGAUGGUGGAGAAAGCCAAAAGGGAAAAGCAAUUAUCGCCUGGGGACUGGAUUUUGUCCUUCAGCAACCAUGACUGAAAAUGGAAAAAAAAGGAGUAUCUGAGACCAACAUUAG